Molecule: ribosomal RNA, 303 nt
Filed under: uncultured bacterium
Lineage: Bacteria
Description: bacterial SSU rRNA
Rfam family: Bacterial small subunit ribosomal RNA
Source: RNAcentral
UGGGGAAUAUUGGGCAAUGGGCGCAAGCCUGACCCAGCAACGCCGCGUGAAGGAAGAAGGCUUUCGGGUUGUAAACUUCUUUUCUCAGGGACGAAGCAAGUGACGGUACCUGAGGAAUAAGCCACGGCUAACUACGUGCCAGCAGCCGCGGUAAUACGUAGGUGGCAAGCGUUAUCCGGAUUUACUGGGUGUAAAGGGCGUGUAGGCGGGACUGCAAGUCAGAUGUGAAAACCAUGGGCUCAACCUAUGGCCUGCAUUUGAAACUGUAGUUCUUGAGUACUGGAGAGGCAGACGGAAUUCCUA